AGCAGCCGCGGUAAUUCCAGCUCCAAUAGCGUAUAUUAAAGUUGUUGCAGUUAAAAAGCUCGUAGUUGAAUUUCGGGAUCAGUAUGUUGGUCGUGCUUCGGUACGUACUGUCAUUACUGGUUUCUACCUUCUGAAGAACCUCGAUGUCAUUAAUUUGGCGUCGUGGGAAAUCAGGACUGUUACUUUGAAAAAAUUAGAGUGUUUAAAGCAAGCUCGCGCUUGAAUACAUUAGCAUGGAAUAAUGAAAUAGGACGUUUGAUUCUAUUUUGUUGGUUUCUAGGAUCGACGUAAUGAUUAAUAGGGAUAGUUGGGGGCAU
RNAcentral lists this ribosomal RNA (317 nucleotides) under uncultured Glomus. RNAcentral describes it as "SSU rRNA". It matches the Rfam family "Eukaryotic small subunit ribosomal RNA", at positions 569 to 891 of the family's 1831-position model. Lineage: Eukaryota; Fungi; Glomeromycota; Glomeromycetes; Glomerales; Glomeraceae. The record is from RNAcentral.